This 94-nucleotide transfer RNA is filed under the name Caballeronia ptereochthonis. Its description in RNAcentral is "tRNA-Asp". Lineage: Bacteria; Pseudomonadati; Pseudomonadota; Betaproteobacteria; Burkholderiales; Burkholderiaceae. The record is from RNAcentral.
CGAGACACUGCGCGGCGGCCGCGCCCGCGCGCGCCAUCAGCGUGUGCGGCGGCAGCGCGGCGGCUGCGCGCGCUUCGAGCGUGCGCAGCUCGGC